Non-coding RNA from Phrynosoma platyrhinos (Desert horned lizard), 71 nucleotides. Lineage: Eukaryota; Metazoa; Chordata; Lepidosauria; Squamata; Phrynosomatidae. The record is from the annotation of a GenBank genome assembly.
CCCAGCGUGGCACAGUGGUUCGAGCGUUGGACGACCACUCUGGAGACCAGGGUUCAAUUCCCAGCUUGGCC